RNAcentral lists this non-coding RNA (31 nucleotides) under Callithrix jacchus (white-tufted-ear marmoset). The record is from RNAcentral. RNAcentral also lists the same sequence under 3 other names. Lineage: Eukaryota; Metazoa; Chordata; Mammalia; Primates; Cebidae.
UCGAAUGUAAAACUGACUGUGCCUUAGCAUC